GGGNUCAACAAACAUGGCAAAAGUGUUCUCAACACUAACAUGAACCCUNUCCUCACCAAGGAAACUGUUUCUCUCAAGCACACUGGUGUAUAGGGAUGCGUGUUUCUCACUCUUAGCAACACANGGUCACACAAUUCAACUUUGCCUUUCAUUUCUACCACAAUGAAGACAUUCACCUGCAAGUUUGCAUCACAAGGACUUUCAAGGCUUGUAUUUUGGUUGGGCUAAGAAAGAAUUUUGGUUUUUCUAGAUACAAAACACCUUUAGCUAAGAGAGCAUUCAAAUCAGCAAUUAUACAUCCUACUCUUCUUAACUUCAAGCAGUUACAACCAAUUUUCAAUUCUCUUUCCAACUUUUCAUCUAUUGAUUCAUUUUCUUGCUCUUGUUGCUUUUUCUUCUUUUUCUUCUUUUUCUUCUUUUUCUUUUUGCUUUUCUUGUCAUUUUCUUUUUGCAACCUCAACCACCCCAAACUUAAACCAUUUUCCUCUACCAAAAUGA
This 498-nucleotide long non-coding RNA is filed under the name Vigna radiata. RNAcentral's name for it is "long non-coding RNA (VRAD_LNC005438)". Lineage: Eukaryota; Viridiplantae; Streptophyta; Magnoliopsida; Fabales; Fabaceae. The record is from RNAcentral.